This 362-nucleotide ribosomal RNA is filed under the name uncultured bacterium. Its description in RNAcentral is "partial 16S ribosomal RNA". It matches the Rfam family "Bacterial small subunit ribosomal RNA", at positions 338 to 697 of the family's 1533-position model. The record is from RNAcentral.
CCUACGGGUGGCUGCAGUGAGGAAUAUUGGUCAAUGGACGCAAGUCUGAACCAGCCAUGCCGCGUGCAGGAUGACGGCUCUAUGAGUUGUAAACUGCUUUUGUACGAGGGUAAACCCCGAUACGUGUAUCGGUUUGAAAGUAUCGUACGAAUUAGGAUCGGCUAACUCCGUGCCAGCAGCCGCGGGAAUACGGAGGCUCCGAGCGUUAUCCGGAUUUAUUGGGUUUAAAGGGUGCGUAGGCGGUUUGAUAAGUUAGAGGUGAAAUGUCGGGGCUCAACCCCGAGACUGCCGCUAAUACUGGUGGACUAGAGAAUAGGUGCGGUAGGCGGAAUGUAUGGUGUAGCGGUGAAAGGCGUAGAGAU